GAUGAACGCUGGCGGCGUGCCUAAUACAUGCAAGUCGAGCGAAUGGAUUGAGAGCUUGCUCUCAAGAAGUUAGCGGCGGACGGGUGAGUAACACGUGGGUAACCUGCCCAUAAGACUGGGAUAACUCCGGGAAACCGGGGCUAAUACCGGAUAACAUUUUGAACCGCAUGGUUCGAAAUUGAAAGGCGGCUUCGGCUGUCACUUAUGGAUGGACCCGCGUCGCAUUAGCUAGUUGGUGAGGUAACGGCUCACCAAGGCAACGAUGCGUAGCCGACCUGAGAGGGUGAUCGGCCACACUGGGACUGAGACACGGCCCAGACUCCUACGGGAGGCAGCAGUAGGGAAUCUUCCGCAAUGGACGAAAGUCUGACGGAGCAACGCCGCGUGAGUGAUGAAGGCUUUCGGGUCGUAAAACUCUGUUGUUAGGGAAGAACAGGUGCUAGUUGAAUAAGCUGGCACCUUGACGGUACCUAACCAGAAAGCCACGGCUAACUACGUGCCAGCAGCCGCAGUAA
Molecule: ribosomal RNA, 515 nt
Filed under: uncultured bacterium
Lineage: Bacteria
Description: partial 16S ribosomal RNA
Rfam family: Bacterial small subunit ribosomal RNA
Source: RNAcentral